UACGUAGGGUGCAAGCGUUGUCCGGAAUUAUUGGGCGUAAAGAGCUCGUAGGCGGUCUGUCGCGUCGGCUGUGAAAUCCCGAGGCUCAACCUCGGGUCUGCAGUCGAUACGGGCAAACUAGAGUAUUGCAGGGGAGACUGGAAUUCCUGGUGUAGCGGUGAAAUGCGUAGAGAUCGGGAGGAACACCAGAGGCGAAGGCGGCGACCUGGACAGUAACUGACGCUAAACUACGAAAGCGUGGGGAGCAAACAGG
This 253-nucleotide ribosomal RNA is filed under the name uncultured bacterium. RNAcentral's name for it is "partial 16S ribosomal RNA". It matches the Rfam family "Bacterial small subunit ribosomal RNA", at positions 524 to 776 of the family's 1533-position model. The record is from RNAcentral.